CGCGUUGGAAACGCUUUUUUCCCAUUUGUUUUAUGAAACCCUUCUAAUAGCGUUGCACAUAGCCAGAUUAUUCAUACAAUCUGUUUCUAAAAGUCAUUACUAAAUAAGCGUUUCUAAAGAUCAUUAUGUUCUCUAAUAUUUUACUAAAUAAAAAGCCAAAGAAAUGGGUUGUUCCCAUCUCGUGUUCACAACUGCGUCGUUCCCAUCGCCGACGCCCAUCCCCGUCGCGCAUCGAUCAUCGAUCUUCACCGCCGUUUCUGAGCCACCGUGACACCACCAACCCUCGCCGAUGUUGAAGACGAACCCAAACUCUGACUGGAGACGGUGGCCACAAAAUCGAUGCUGGUCAAUGCACUCACGCAUCAAAUCGCGAAGCUCCAUUCUUCUUCUCGAAGCUCCAUAAUCGCUGCCUCUGCGAUGGUUGUUAUGUAUGGAGAUCUCUCUCGCGCCCUUGUGAUCCUCCUUCCUCUGCUCUUCAUCCAUGGCGGUCUCUGCUUCUACCUCCCUGGCAUAGUGCCGCAAGAUUUCCAGAAGCAUGUACAAUUCUCCAAACUCAAGAAGAUGAUGCUUUAGGGGCUUGUUCUGUUAUUGGUGUUGUAGACUUGGUUGUUGGUACAAUCAGGUUAUGUGAGGAUGGAGAACUGCUGCAUCAAAUAUUGGCCUAGUGUGGGCCUAUGAAUUGCUAAUUGAGAAUGACAUUAUUGAGAAAGGGGGCAGGAAUUGAAGAAGAUAAAAUAGUAGAUGGCUUGUAAUGGGAGCAGAAGCAGACAUAUAUAAGUUGGGGUGCCAAUUCCAAAACUCAAGGGCUUUUUAUUUUAAUGCUCUCACUUAUUUCCUUUUUCCUUUUACUUGUGAAAUUACUUGAAACUUGUACUGCAAAACUGGGCUACUUAAAGAAAUAAAUAUAUAACAUGUUUUAAACUUGGAGCUUGCAGGAUGUGGGAACUACCUGAAUCUAAUGGGAUGCUUUCAAAAAUGCUAGCAUGAACAAGAACUGCGAGCAGUCUCAGGGAAUCUGUUUCCAUUUGGCUACAUUUUCUUUCUAUUAAAGUUUUUUCCUCCUUCGAUCAAUAGUUAAUAAUUUUGCAUAAUGUGUUAAAUUCUUACCCUCCUUGCCGUGCUUAUUUUAUUAUUUACUUUCAUUUUUUCCUGCUAUACAUUGGUGGUUACUAAUGAUGCAUGCUAUUUUCACUUUCAGGUAAACAGAAUCAUGGAACUCCCACAAGAUAGUAAGGUAGUAGCCAAGCACACAGAUAGUCCCAAUGUAAGGAUGAGUUUUCUAUACUUCAUUUUCCUUGUCAAACUGGACUAUGCUUAAAUACUAUCUGUCAGUGCAUGCCAGUAGUUGUUUCACUGUGUUUAUAGCUAGUCAUUUCUUUAGUUUCCUACACCUUUAGAGAGACAUUGAGGAGGAAGAAACAGAACUAGAGAUCAAGAAGUGAACCUCGACUGGUAUUUGCAAAUCCCUAAAACUUGCAUCUUCUCUACCCAAUACUAAUAAUGUUUAAGUUCACUGUCUCAAAUGUUGCUAACUAGCAUUGUUGUCAUGUGCCCAUUGCCAGGUAUGUGUUUACUUAUCUUAAAGCUUUUCAUUCUUUCUUGUGUUUUGCACUCAUUCAGCUCUCUUUUUUAACUAAAAAAUUUUCUGUUUCGAGGUGCACAUCAUAAAAAGUUCUUUGUUGCUUUGCUCUUGUUUGCCUUUCACUUCAAGUAGAUUAUUUUUGCCUUACCGAUUGUUACCUUGCAGGUGCUUUUGUCUUCUUGGAUUAUGUUUUGGCUGAGGAUUGGUCUUAACUAGAAGUAUUUUGACUUUGUUUCUUGGUAUUAGAAUGAUUGGGCUCAUGUGAUUGUGGCUUAUUAAUUAAAAGUUUUGUACUGCAGAAUUAUUGCCAUGUGACAGUUUAUUUGUGGUACUUUGGCGACUUGGAAAACCAUAUGCUUUAUCUCUAA
This is a long non-coding RNA of Lotus japonicus, 1950 nucleotides long. RefSeq lists it as uncharacterized. The transcript has 5 exons. The record is from RefSeq and is a predicted model, not a curated record. Lineage: Eukaryota; Viridiplantae; Streptophyta; Magnoliopsida; Fabales; Fabaceae.